CUUAAUGUGGCAGAAAAGUGCAAUGAACUUAAGCUUCAUGUAUAAAGAUUACUCUUUCGUUAAGA
This 65-nucleotide transfer RNA is filed under the name Triatoma rubida. RNAcentral's name for it is "tRNA-Leu". Lineage: Eukaryota; Metazoa; Arthropoda; Insecta; Hemiptera; Reduviidae. The record is from RNAcentral.